This 85-nucleotide transfer RNA is filed under the name Felis catus (domestic cat). It matches the Rfam family "tRNA". From Rfam's summary of the family: Transfer RNA (tRNA) molecules are approximately 80 nucleotides in length. Their secondary structure includes four short double-helical elements and three loops (D, anti-codon, and T loops). Lineage: Eukaryota; Metazoa; Chordata; Mammalia; Carnivora; Felidae. The record is from Rfam by way of RNAcentral.
GCCUGGGUGGCUCAGUUGGUUGAGCAUCCGACUUCUGCUCAGAUCAUGAUCUCACAGUUUGUGGGUUCAAGCCCCGCGUCAGGCU